Molecule: long non-coding RNA, 492 nt
Organism: Ictalurus punctatus (channel catfish)
Lineage: Eukaryota; Metazoa; Chordata; Actinopteri; Siluriformes; Ictaluridae
Source: Ensembl
CUUCCACAUGGAACAAUUGAAAGCAUCAUUAAGCAAUGCAAAUAUUUCUGGGAGAACAAGGAAGGCCUGAUGAUGGAAGAUGGAACCUUUGUAGGUUUCUGUAACUUCCUGGCUGACUUGUUUGAGGCCAUCAGUAAAUUCAGCCUUCUCCUUCAAAGGAAUGAUAUCAUCUUGCCUCAGAGGCUGUCAGCGGGAUUGAAAAUCUCACUGAGACUGUUGAGGCCAUGGCAGUCAGAUGCAUGCCAGGUGGUAGGCUAGCAGAGCUACAGACAGAUCAUCGGGCUCAGAAACGAAGGAAGGAGGAUGAUGCUGAGAUUCACCCUGUAUACAAAUAUCAGACGAAGAGUCCACAGCAACAGCAACCACAAAGACAGUGAGGUAAUUUAAGAUCUUCAGUCAUGAUUCCUGGCCAGAGCAGAGAGACCAGCUGAUAGACUAUGGUGCAGAGGAGCUGGACUUCCUGCUGGACCAUUUCUCCACCAUAUUAACAAG